CGCGGGGUGGAGCAGCCAGGUAGCUCGCAAGGCUCAUAACCUUGAGGUCAGUAGUUCAAAUCUACUCCCCGCAACCA
This 77-nucleotide transfer RNA is filed under the name Candidatus Omnitrophota bacterium. RNAcentral describes it as "Candidatus Omnitrophica bacterium tRNA-Met". It matches the Rfam family "tRNA". Rfam says of the family: Transfer RNA (tRNA) molecules are approximately 80 nucleotides in length. Their secondary structure includes four short double-helical elements and three loops (D, anti-codon, and T loops). Further hydrogen bonds mediate the characteristic L-shaped molecular structure. tRNAs have two regions of fundamental functional importance: the anti-codon, which is responsible for specific mRNA codon recognition, and the 3' end, to which the tRNAs corresponding amino acid is attached (by aminoacyl-tRNA synthetases). tRNAs cope with the degeneracy of the genetic code in two manners: having more than one tRNA (with a specific anti-codon) for a particular amino acid; and 'wobble' base-pairing, i.e. permitting non-standard base-pairing at the 3rd anti-codon position. Lineage: Bacteria; Pseudomonadati; Candidatus Omnitrophota. The record is from RNAcentral.